ACGGGUGCGUAACGCGUGGGAAUCUGCCCUUAGGUUCGGAAUAACAGCUGGAAACGGCUGCUAAUACCGGAUGAUGACGAAAGUCCAAAGAUUUAUUGCCUGAGGAUGAGCCCGCGUUGGAUUAGGUAGUUGGUGGGGUAAAGGCCUACCAAGCCGACGAUCCAUAGCUGGUCUGAGAGGGUGAUCAGCCACACUGGGACUGAGACACGGCCCAGACUCCUACGGGAGGCAGCAGUGGGGAAUAUUGGACAAUGGGCGAAAGCCUGAUCCAGCAAUGCCGCGUGAGUGAUGAAGGCCCUAGGGUUGUAAAGCUCUUUUACCCGGGAAGACAAUGACUGUACCGGGAGAAUAAGCCCCGGCUAACUCCGUGCCAGCAGCCGCGGUAAUACGGAGGGGGCUAGCGUUGUUCGGAAUUACUGGGCGUAAAGCGCACGUAGGCGGCUUUGUAAGUCAGAGGUGAAAGCCUGGAGCUCAACUCCAGAACUGCCUUUGAGACUGCAUCGCUUGAAUCCAGGAGAGGUCAGUGGAAUUCCGAGUGUAGAGGUG
Molecule: ribosomal RNA, 546 nt
Filed under: uncultured bacterium
Lineage: Bacteria
Description: bacterial SSU rRNA
Rfam family: Bacterial small subunit ribosomal RNA
Source: RNAcentral